CCAUUGUGAGCCAAGCAGUAACUA
This 24-nucleotide non-coding RNA is filed under the name Cricetulus griseus (Chinese hamster). The record is from RNAcentral. Lineage: Eukaryota; Metazoa; Chordata; Mammalia; Rodentia; Cricetidae.